Lingula anatina is the source of this 255-nucleotide long non-coding RNA. Lineage: Eukaryota; Metazoa; Brachiopoda; Lingulata; Lingulida; Lingulidae. The record is from RefSeq and is a predicted model, not a curated record.
AUGUGCGGCCAUAUUUGUUGUGGAACAUACAUCUGCUUUUUUCCAUCUUGUGCAUUUUUGUGCACGAAAAAUACUCCAGUUUAAAAUGGAAUUAGGCAUUGUAAGGUUAUCGGCAAAAUGGACCUUUCUAUUAAUCGUAACUGUUUCUGUUUUCUACAGACCAACAGAUAGUGGUGCUAUUCAGAUGCAUGAUGCCAAUCUUGAUGAAGUAUUAUCUAGCAAUGAAGUAGUCUUUGUAAAUUUUUAUGCAGACUG